AACGGCCGCGGUAUCCUGACCGUGCGAAGGUAGCAUAAUCACUUGUUCUUUAAAUAAGGACUAGUAUCAACGGCAUCACGAGGAUUAUACUGUCUCCUCCCUCCAAUCAGUGAAACUAAUUUCCCCGUGAAGAAGCGGGGAUAAGAAUAUAAGACGAGAAGACCCCAUGGAGCUUUAAACCCAACAGCAACCUAUAUAUACAAAUUUCCCAAUAUCUAAAAGUCCUGCCUGUUGGUUUUAGGUUGGGGUGACCGCGGAGUAAAACUAAGCCUCCACGACGAACGGGAUUAACCCCUAAUCCAAGAGCCACCGCUCUAAGAAUCAAUAAAUUGACGUAAAAUGAUCCGAUAAUCGAUCAACGAACUA
RNAcentral lists this ribosomal RNA (366 nucleotides) under Quasipaa exilispinosa (Hong Kong spiny frog). Its description in RNAcentral is "partial large subunit ribosomal RNA". It matches the Rfam family "Bacterial large subunit ribosomal RNA", at positions 1926 to 2459 of the family's 2925-position model. The record is from RNAcentral. Lineage: Eukaryota; Metazoa; Chordata; Amphibia; Anura; Dicroglossidae.